CCUCUACUUAGAACUCCGUUGUGAAAGCACACCAACCCAUGCAACUAAUAAUAGCAGCACUUGAUUUUUCAUGCAAGAAUAAGCUUCUUUAUGCACACCAACCCAUGCAACUCUUUAUCUUCUUCACAUCAAUUCAGACUUCUCCAUUGAUACGUAACCAUACUCUUAAUUACCAUAAUAUAUGCUCAUCUAUAUCUCUCCUGUCCAUUUAUUAUCACAAAAUUUAAUGUUCACUAUUCUUGGAAUUAUAACUUUUUUUGGUUAAUACUAACCAUCAGCUACUUAUUUUAAUUGAAUUAAUGGUACAAUAUAAUUUCAAUGUCAGGAACUAUUGUGAUAGUAAAUGGAUAGUUUUUAAGAUUCCAAUG
RNAcentral lists this long non-coding RNA (368 nucleotides) under Elaeis guineensis (African oil palm). RNAcentral's name for it is "long non-coding RNA (EGUI_LNC016342)". The record is from RNAcentral. Lineage: Eukaryota; Viridiplantae; Streptophyta; Magnoliopsida; Arecales; Arecaceae.